This 506-nucleotide ribosomal RNA is filed under the name uncultured bacterium. Its description in RNAcentral is "partial 16S ribosomal RNA". It matches the Rfam family "Bacterial small subunit ribosomal RNA", at positions 28 to 523 of the family's 1533-position model. The record is from RNAcentral.
GUUGAACGCUGGCGGCAGGCCUAACACAUGCAAGUCGAGCGGUAACAGGAAGUAGCUUGCUACUUUGCUGACGAGCGGCGGACGGGUGAGUAAUGUCUGGGAAACUGCCUGAUGGAGGGGGAUAACUACUGGAAACGGUAGCUAAUACCGCAUAACGUCGCAAGACCAAAGUGGGGGACCUUCGGGCCUCAUGCCAUCGGAUGUGCCCAGAUGGGAUUAGCUAGUAGGUGGGGUAAUGGCUCACCUAGGCGACGAUCCCUAGCUGGUCUGAGAGGAGGAUCAGCCACACUGGAACUGAGACACGGUCCAGACUCCUACGGGAGGCAGCAGUGGGGAAUAUUGCACAAUGGGCGCAAGCCUGAUGCAGCCAUGCCGCGUGUAUGAAGAAGGCCUUAGGGUUGUAAAGUACUUUCAGCGGGGAGGGAGGUGUUGAGGUUAAUAACCUCAGCAAUUGACGUUACCCGCAGAAGAAGCACCGGCUAACUCCGUGCCAGCCGCCGCAGUAA